AGAGUCUACGGGAGGCAGCAGUGAGGAAUAUUGGACAAUGGGCGCAAGCCUGAUCCAGCAAUACCGCGUGUGUGAAGAAGGCCUGAGGGUUGUAAAGCACUUUCAAUGGGGAGGAAAAAGGUAGUCUUAAUACGGCUGCCCUUGACAUUACCUAUAGAAGAAGCACCGGCUAACUCCGUGCCAGCAGCCGCGGUAAUACGGAGGGUGCGAGCGUUAAUCGGAAUUACUGGGCGUAAAGCGUGCGUAGGCGGCCUGUUAAGUCAGAUGUGAAAGCCCUGGGCUCAACCUGGGAACGGCAUUUGAAACUGGCAAGCUAGAGUUAGGUAGAGGGGAGUGGAAUUUCAGGUGUAGCGGUGAAAUGCGUAGAUAUCUGAAGGAACGG
RNAcentral lists this ribosomal RNA (382 nucleotides) under uncultured bacterium. Its description in RNAcentral is "bacterial SSU rRNA". It matches the Rfam family "Bacterial small subunit ribosomal RNA", at positions 333 to 709 of the family's 1533-position model. The record is from RNAcentral.